UCGCCCUGUUUUUACAAAAACAUCGCCUCCUGAACAUUUAUAGGAGGUCCAGCCUGCCCAGUGACUUUGUUCAACGGCCUCGGUACCCUGACCGCGCGAAGGUAGCAUAAUCACUUGUUCUUUAAAUAAGGACUAGUAUCAACGGCAUCACGAGGGUUAUCCUGUCUCCUCUCUCUAAUCAGUGAACCUGACCUCUUCGUGAAGAGGCGAAGAUAUAUUUAUAAGACGAGAAGACCCCAUGGAGCUUAAAACACAGAAACAAUUUUUUUCUAUAAACCCUAAAAGAUAAAAAAAUUUGUUAGCUAGUUUUCGGCUGGGGUGCCCAAGGAGAACAACCCAACCUCCCUGACGACCAUUAUCUAAGAACAACAACUCAAAGAAACAAAAAAUUGACGUAAAAUGACCCGAUUCAAUUAUCGAUCAACGAACCAAGUUACCCUGGGGAUAACAGCGCAAUCCAUUUCAAGAGCCCCUAUCGACAAAUGGGUUUACGACCUCGAUGUUGGAUCAGGGUAUCCUGGUGGUGCAGCAGCUACUAAAGGUUCGUUUGUUCAACGAUUAAAACCCUACGUGAUCUGAUUUCAGACCGGA
Molecule: ribosomal RNA, 591 nt
Filed under: Mesobatrachia sp. CZ1.1
Lineage: Eukaryota; Metazoa; Chordata; Amphibia; Anura
Description: partial 16S ribosomal RNA
Rfam family: Bacterial large subunit ribosomal RNA
Source: RNAcentral